Molecule: ribosomal RNA, 468 nt
Filed under: uncultured bacterium
Lineage: Bacteria
Description: partial 16S ribosomal RNA
Rfam family: Bacterial small subunit ribosomal RNA
Source: RNAcentral
GAUGAACGCUGGCGGCGUGCUUAACACAUGCAAGUCGAACGGAAAGGCCAGUGCUUGCACCGGUACUCGAGUGGCGAACGGGUGAGUAACACGUGGGUGAUCUGCCCUGCACUUCGGGAUAAGCCUGGGAAACUGGGUCUAAUACCGGAUAGGACAAUGGUUUGGAUGCCGUUGUGGAAAGUUUUUUCGGUGUGGGAUGGGCUCGCGGCCUAUCAGCUUGUUGGUGGGGUAAUGGCCUACCAAGGCGUCGACGGGUAGCCGGCCUGAGAGGGUGUACGGCCACAUUGGGACUGAGAUACGGCCCAGACUCCUACGGGAGGCAGCAGUGGGGAAUAUUGCACAAUGGGCGCAAGCCUGAUGCAGCGACGCCGCGUGGGGGAUGACGGCCUUCGGGUUGUAAACUCCUUUCGCUAGGGACGAAGCGUAUUUGUGACGGUACCUGGAGAAGAAGCACCGGCUAACUACGUG